CGAGGGGAGUGAAAAAGAACCUGAAACCGUGUACGUACAAGCAGUGGGAGCCUCUUUAUGGGGUGACUGCGUACCUUUUGUAUAAUGGGUCAGCGACUUAUAUUCUGUAGCAAGGUUAACCGAAUAGGGGAGCCGAAGGGAAACCGAGUCUUAACUGGGCGUUAAGUUGCAGGGUAUAGACCCGAAACCCGGUGAUCUAGCCAUGGGCAGGUUGAAGGUUGGGUAACACUAACUGGAGGACCGAACCGACUAAUGUUGAAAAAUUAGCGGAUGACUUGUGGCUGGGGGUGAAAGGCCAAUCAAACCGGGAGAUAGCUGGUUCUCCCCGAAAGCUAUUUAGGUAGCGCCUCGUGAAUUCAUCUCCGGGGGUAGAGCACUGUUUCGGCAAGGGGGUCAUCCCGACUUACCAACCCGAUGCAAACUGCGAAUACCGGAGAAUGUUAUCACGGGAGACACACGGCGGGUGCUAACGUCCGUCGUGAAGAGGGAAACAACCCAGACCGCCAGCUAAGGUCCCAAAGUCAUGGUUAAGUGGGAAACGAUGUGGGAAGGCCCAGACAGCCAGGAUGUUGGCUUAGAAGCAGCCAUCAUUUAAAGAAAGCGUAAUAGCUCACUGGUCGAGUCGGCCUGCGCGGAAGAUGUAACGGGGCUAAACCAUG
This 659-nucleotide ribosomal RNA is filed under the name Escherichia coli. RNAcentral describes it as "partial 23S ribosomal RNA". It matches the Rfam family "Bacterial large subunit ribosomal RNA", at positions 530 to 1191 of the family's 2925-position model. The record is from RNAcentral. Lineage: Bacteria; Pseudomonadati; Pseudomonadota; Gammaproteobacteria; Enterobacterales; Enterobacteriaceae.